This 461-nucleotide long non-coding RNA is filed under the name Scleropages formosus (Asian bonytongue). Its description in RNAcentral is "lncRNA (ENSSFOG00015032066.1)". Lineage: Eukaryota; Metazoa; Chordata; Actinopteri; Osteoglossiformes; Osteoglossidae. The record is from RNAcentral.
GGCCGUUCGGUGACUGCGCUCUCUGCGCGCGGCUUCUCCGAUGCUGCAAAAUUAGCGGAAGGUCGUUUAGCGCAAACAGGGCGCUGGACGUCUGAUUGCAGCUGCGGAGUUGAGUCGAGGAACAGUCUUAUGGCAGCUAAGUGAGGGAUGUGAACCAUCAGACAGACGAGCUAUGCGCUGAGAAUCCUGCGUCUGUGCCUAAAGCUCUUCGUCUGCUGUUGAUGCAUUUCUCUUUCCAUUGAGCUGUACGUCUCUUUGGAGGGCAAGUACCUCGACCAAGGGCAUGACAGCAGGUGCAGGACCUCGACCCACGGAAUUUCAGAUUGCAAGGUGCCAGCUCUAAGCGCUGUGCCCCCUGCUGUUUGUACUUCCUCCAUAUGUAUCCUGUCUAUUCAAUGUGACUCCUAGUGCUGAAGCCCGGAAACCCAGCAGUUAUAUUUAAAAACUGUGUUUUAUUGAAU